This 468-nucleotide unclassified non-coding RNA is filed under the name Hevea brasiliensis (rubber tree). Lineage: Eukaryota; Viridiplantae; Streptophyta; Magnoliopsida; Malpighiales; Euphorbiaceae. The record is from RNAcentral.
GUUUUAUAGAUGCAUUUUUGUUAAAUGUGCAAUUUUUUUUGUUGCAGCAUGGUGAUGAUGAUUAUUCACUCCUUGUAAACUUGAAAAAGUUGGAUGAUGAUCCUCAAUUUUCAAGGAAAAUUUCCAUCGAAAAAUUAAAAAAACUGCCCCAUGGUAAGCUUAGGUCUAGUGGGAAAAGGUGGUAGAUUUGUGACUUAGGUCACAUAUUCAAGCCCCACACCAUGCAAAGCAAAGCCCAAUAUUUAAGUGGAGAAGGAUAGAGGGGCGGACCUAUUAUCUAUUGGAUUUUAUUUGCCCUAAAUUUCUUACCAUAAAUAGGUUUUUCUUGUAGGAAAAAGUUUUGAAUUGACUAAUCCUUUUCUUGUAGGAAAAGGUUUAGGACUCUAUAAAUAGAGGCAUGUUCCUUCUAACAUAAUUAGAAUUCACAAUGUAGUUUUAAGGGCUUUGAGAGUUUUGGUUAGAGGGAGA